UACGUAGGGUGCGAGCGUUAAUCGGAAUUACUGGGCGUAAAGGGUGCGCAGGCGGUCCUGCAAGUCAGGCGUGAAAUCCCCGGGCUUAACCUGGGAAUGGCACUUGAAACUACGGAACUGGAGUAUGGCAGAGGGAGGUGGAAUUCCACGUGUAGCGGUGAAAUGCGUAGAGAUGUGGAGGAACACCGAUGGCGAAGGCAGCCUCCUGGGCCAAUACUGACGCUCAUGCACGAAAGCGUGGGGAGCAAACAGG
RNAcentral lists this ribosomal RNA (253 nucleotides) under uncultured bacterium. Its description in RNAcentral is "partial 16S ribosomal RNA". It matches the Rfam family "Bacterial small subunit ribosomal RNA", at positions 524 to 776 of the family's 1533-position model. The record is from RNAcentral.